UACAUGCAAGUCGAGCGAACAGAUAAGGAGCUUGCUCCUUUGACGUUAGCGGCGGACGGGUGAGUAACACGUGGAUAACCUACCUAUAAGACUGGGAUAACUUCGGGAAACCGGAGCUAAUACCGGAUAACAUAUUGAACCGCAUGGUUCAAUAGUGAAAGGCGGCUUUGCUGUCACUUAUAGAUGGAUCCGCGCCGUAUUAGCUAGUUGGUAAGGUAACGGCUUACCAAGGCAACGAUACGUAGCCGACCUGAGAGGGUGAUCGGCCACACUGGAACUGAGACACGGUCCAGACUCCUACGGGAGGCAGCAGUAGGGAAUCUUCCGCAAUGGGCGAAAGCCUGACGGAGCAACGCCGCGUGAGUGAUGAAGGUCUUCGGAUCGUAAAACUCUGUUAUCAGGGAAGAACAAAUGUGUAAGUAACUGUGCACAUCUUGACGGUACCUGAUCAGAAAGCCACGGCUAACUACGUGCCAGCAGCCGCGGUAAUACGUAGGUGGCAAGCGUUAUCCGGAAUUAUUGGGCGUAAAGCGCGCGUAGGCGGUUUUUUAAGUCUGAUGUGAAAGCCCACGGCUCAACCGUGGAGGGUCAUUGGAAACUGGAAAACUUGAGUGCAGAAGAGGAAAGUGGAAUUCCAUGUGUAGCGGUGAAAUGCGCAGAGAUAUGGAGGAACACCAGUGGCGAAGGCGACUUUCUGGUCUGUAACUGACGCUGAUGUGCGAAAGCGUGGGGAUCAAACAGGAUUAGAUACCCUGGUAGUCCACGCCGUAAACGAUGAGUGCUAAGUGUUAGGGGUUUCCGCCCCUUAGUGCUGCAGCUAACGCAUUAAGCACUCCGCCUGGGGAGUACGACCGCAAGGUU
This 861-nucleotide ribosomal RNA is filed under the name Staphylococcus sp. 1-1pA. Its description in RNAcentral is "bacterial SSU rRNA". It matches the Rfam family "Bacterial small subunit ribosomal RNA", at positions 52 to 895 of the family's 1533-position model. The record is from RNAcentral. Lineage: Bacteria; Bacillati; Bacillota; Bacilli; Caryophanales; Staphylococcaceae.